RNAcentral lists this ribosomal RNA (459 nucleotides) under uncultured Smithella sp. Its description in RNAcentral is "bacterial SSU rRNA". It matches the Rfam family "Bacterial small subunit ribosomal RNA", at positions 923 to 1382 of the family's 1533-position model. The record is from RNAcentral. Lineage: Bacteria; Pseudomonadati; Thermodesulfobacteriota; Syntrophia; Syntrophales; Smithellaceae.
GCACAAGCGGUGGAGCAUGUGGUUUAAUUCGAUGCAACGCGAAAACCUUACCCACCUUCGACAUGUACGGAAGUUGCCAGAGAUGGCUUCGUGCUCGAAAGAGAGCCUUAACACAGGUGCUGCAUGGCUGUCGUCAGCUCGUGCCGUGAGAUGUUGGGUUAAGUCCCGCAACGAGCGCAACCCUUAUCUUUAAUUGCCAGCAUUCAGUUGGGCACUUUAAAGAGACUGCCGGUGUUAAACCGGAGGAAGGUGGGGAUGGCGUCAAGUCCUCAUGGCCUUUAUGCUUAGGGCUACACACGUGCUACAAUGGGUGGUACAAAGAGAAGCCAACUCGCGAGAGCGCGCCAAUCUCAAAAAGCCAUCCUCAGUUCGGAUUGGAGUCUGCAACUCGACUCCAUGAAGUUGGAAUCGCUAGUAAUCGCGGAUCAGCAUGCCGCGAUGAAUACGUUCCCGGGCCUU